This 200-nucleotide ribosomal RNA is filed under the name uncultured bacterium. RNAcentral describes it as "partial 16S ribosomal RNA". It matches the Rfam family "Bacterial small subunit ribosomal RNA", at positions 8 to 210 of the family's 1533-position model. The record is from RNAcentral.
AGAGUUUGAUCCUGGCUCAGAAUGAACGUUGGCGGCGUGGAUUAGGCAUGCAAGUCGAACGGGUCCGCCGCAAGGCGGAUCAGUGGCGCAAGGGUGAGUAAGGCGACGGCAACCAACCCCAUGGUUGGGCAUAGCCGCGGGAAACUGCGGGUAAUUCCCAGCGAUGUUCGCUUGGGGCAUCUCGAGCGAACCAAAGCUCU